AUGUUAAAACUGCAAUGUUAAAUGUGAUGUAACACUUAAAUGGACUUGAAACGGACUUUGUUCCUACUCUAGUGAUAGUGCCAUUGUUUGUUCUAAUCUCAUGUGUGUCUAGCUCCUAAUGGCUGGAAGUCCAACAAGGUGGGUGAUUUGCUUUCAGCCACGUUUUGAAUGCAGUAUGCCUAAACGAUUUAGAUUUGUCUUAUUUGAAGCAGUGAAAAUUUGGGAACUUUUGGAGAAAAUAUUAGACACAACAAGGUUCAUACAAAAACUGAGAUUUAAAGAAGCCUCCGUAAUGUUCCGCUUCACACUUCUAUGGUCAAAGUCAUGCUGAGCCACAUAUUAUUUAUGAUCGCAUGACCGCAGUGGAGUGAUUCAGAGAGACAUAUAUUUAUGAAAGGGAUUUAAAUCAGAAUAGGAUUUUAUUUGAAUUUGCUUUAGUAAUUUAAGUACUGAUUGAUGCAUCUGAUGUGUUGUUUCAUAUCUAAGGUGCACUCUUGACGUCUAAUACCUUUCAUCCUCAGGAUACAGGACUUGGAGAAAUCACUUACAAGUGCUGUCAGAACUGUUGCUUCAUCUGUCUGUAGUUUCUCAGUAACGUGGUUGUGAGCCUGACAAUGUCAAAUUCUCACCCUUCUGGUUUAAUUGUAUGUGAAGGUGGCAGAUCCUGUGGUGUUGCUUCGGGAUAGUAAAAGUGCAAUUUAGAGUGACUUUAUUCUACACUAUAGUCUCAUAAAAAAGAAGGAUGCUACUAUAGCCCUCAAAUCAGAUGUCUUGUGUAAGUAAAAAGACUUCAGUUAGAUUUAAUCUACAAAUAUAGAUUAGUCAAAUCAGAAUCACUAAUCAAGAUUACAUCCUCUAUUUUGUAAAGAAAUUGUUUGAGAGGCAAAUAUUUCCAUUCAACGGCAAAUGAUGCUUGCUCAUUUAUUUCAAAUGAUCAGUGGAGUCUGAUGCAAAGUAUUUCUUCUCUUUGUCAAUAAUUCUUCUUUAUGCCAUAUAUUUAUGUGUUUGGAGUAUUUUAAAAUUAGUUUUGCCUGGUGUAAUCUCAGGGGCUAUAUCAGUGAUUUUUUCUUUUGAGAGGUUUGUCUUUAACCCUUAAGGAGUUAUGAGAUACACAUUAUACAAUAAAUGUAACAUUAAAAUCAA
Long non-coding RNA from Sinocyclocheilus rhinocerous, 1143 nucleotides. RefSeq lists it as uncharacterized. Lineage: Eukaryota; Metazoa; Chordata; Actinopteri; Cypriniformes; Cyprinidae. The transcript is spliced from 2 exons. The record is from RefSeq and is a predicted model, not a curated record.